CCCAAUUCUCCUUGAGAAAUACCAGAGAUAAAGACAUAUAAGUUCCUAUUUCUGUUCUCAUUUUGUCAUGAUGGCUCGAAGUCUCUUUUUGCCUUUGAGUGGACUUUCCUGCUUAAUUUUCUCUCUGAAUAUUCCUAACGCAUCACUUCAAGUCACAGAUGUGAAUGAAUGCAUGGAUACCCGGGCCUGCCCUUCGAAAGCCACCUGCACGAACACUGUGGGAAGCUACUUCUGCACCUGUAAAUCUGGAUAUGAAUCAAGCAAUGGGAAGAGACAGUUUAAUGAUCCUGGAGUGACGUGCAUAGGUGAGUGUUAUUCCAGUAAGAACAUUCUAGAAAAAGAGUAGGUCUACUCAUCCCUCCUAUU
This 366-nucleotide long non-coding RNA is filed under the name Bos mutus (wild yak). RNAcentral describes it as "lncRNA (ENSBMUG00000025600.1)". The record is from RNAcentral. Lineage: Eukaryota; Metazoa; Chordata; Mammalia; Artiodactyla; Bovidae.